RNAcentral lists this ribosomal RNA (128 nucleotides) under Penicillium sp. MT9. RNAcentral describes it as "partial 5.8S ribosomal RNA". It matches the Rfam family "5.8S ribosomal RNA", at positions 29 to 154 of the family's 154-position model. From Rfam's summary of the family: 5.8S ribosomal RNA (5.8S rRNA) is a component of the large subunit of the eukaryotic ribosome. It is transcribed by RNA polymerase I as part of the 45S precursor that also contains 18S and 28S rRNA. Lineage: Eukaryota; Fungi; Ascomycota; Eurotiomycetes; Eurotiales; Aspergillaceae. The record is from RNAcentral.
UGCAUCGAUGAAAAAACGCAGCGAAAUGCGAUACGUAAUGUGAAUUGCAAAUUCAGUGAAUCAUCGAGUCUUUGAACGCACAUUGCGCCCCCUGGUAUUCCGGGGGGCAUGCCUGUCCGAGCGUCAUU